Long non-coding RNA from Rhodamnia argentea, 374 nucleotides. RefSeq lists it as uncharacterized. The record is from RefSeq and is a predicted model, not a curated record. The transcript is spliced from 2 exons. NCBI's taxonomy places the organism in Eukaryota, Viridiplantae, Streptophyta, Magnoliopsida, Myrtales, Myrtaceae.
GCCGAUCGACCGGUAUCUUUACUCGGAGUAUUCUCGCAUGAAAAAGAAGCAAUUUUUUUCGAGAUAAAAUCGGCGAAACUCGAGGGAAAGGAUCGAAAUCGCAAAAGGGCAGGAGGGAUCGGUGGAGAUCGAGGAUGGGUUUCGAUCGUUACCUGGGAUUUGGUUCUGGUUGUUGUACUGGCUCAUCUUCGAUCGGGAAACGUUGACUGAGAUCUAGCUCACGAACAAGUCUGCGCUUGGAGAGCGAGAGAGAGAAAGAUGAUACAGAUGGUAGAGAGAGAAAGCGAGAGAGAGACGAUAGGAUGGAGAGAGAGUGCAGGUAUGGUGCGAGAUUUAUAGAAGAACGGAGGAGGAAGACGACGCGUUGGAGGAGG